AUCCAGCUGACGAGUCCCGAAUAGGACGAAACGUGUGGCCUGGAU
This is a non-coding RNA of Schistosoma mansoni, 45 nucleotides long. NCBI's taxonomy places the organism in Eukaryota, Metazoa, Platyhelminthes, Trematoda, Strigeidida, Schistosomatidae. The record is from Rfam.